This 616-nucleotide unclassified non-coding RNA is filed under the name Amphibalanus amphitrite. Its description in RNAcentral is "uncharacterized LOC122382215, transcript variant X2". Lineage: Eukaryota; Metazoa; Arthropoda; Thecostraca; Balanomorpha; Balanidae. The record is from RNAcentral.
ACAAAAUUGAAAUAGCAGUCAGACGGAUGUUUGCUGAUAUUAGGCUGUUAAGACUGAGCCGUGAUGCAGUGGCCGGUGGGAGUGCCGGCGCCGGUCGUGGUGGACCCGACGCCCAGCGCUCCGCUUCGCGCUGCUACCACACAGGUCUCUGAAUGGAGCUGCGUUCCGGUGGGCGGCUGGCUGCGCUCUCUCGGUCUGGCCCAGUACGCCGACGCGUUCGUCGCCCGCUCUGUGGAUGGCGCCCGGCUUCUGGGGCUCACCGAACAGGCUAUGGAAGACGAGCCCGACGUCGGUCUCGACGUGGCGACCUCGGAGCCAGCGUGUUGGGUCUCGGCUUCCCGCCACUCACCGGCGGACCUUUCCGCUUCGUGGACCGCAUCGGUCCCGCACAGCUAGUCAAGGACAUGGAGCGCUUCGCCGUCGUCAAUGGCGUCGGCUUCGAGCCGUGCCUGACCGUGCACUACCAGGCCGCUAGCGGCACCAAGUUCUGUUCGGCCGGGCCUCGUGUAAUGCCCACAUGUGAUGACCGAGUGUAUACGCAUGUGAAGCCGCUCCGCGUGUGUACCAGCGCUGGGCGUGUUCAGUUUCAAAGUAAAUAUAGAACCCUGGUGAUCAA